GUAGUCCACGCCGUAAACGAUGAGUACUAGGUUUGGUGGGUCUUGACCCCCGCCGAACCGGAGCUAACGCACUAAGUACUCCGCCUGGGAAGUACGGUCGCAAGACUAAAACUCAAAGGAAUUGACGGGGGCCCGCACAAGCGGUGGAUCAUGUGGUUUAAUUCGAAGCAACGCGAAGAACCUUACCUGGAUUUGACAUCCGCUGACAGCCGUAGAGAUACGGUUUUAGUAGCAAUACUACAGCGAGACAGGUGCUGCAUGGCUGUCGUCAGCUCGUGUGGUGACAUGUUGGGUUAAGUCCCGCAACGAGCGCAACCCUUGUCCUUAGUUGCCAGCAUUCAGUUGGGCUCUCUAAGGAGACUGCCGUGGUUAACACGGA
This 379-nucleotide ribosomal RNA is filed under the name uncultured bacterium. Its description in RNAcentral is "bacterial SSU rRNA". It matches the Rfam family "Bacterial small subunit ribosomal RNA", at positions 790 to 1167 of the family's 1533-position model. The record is from RNAcentral.